GCGGACGGGUGAGUAACACGUGGGUAACCUACCUAUAAGACUGGGACAACUUCGGGGAACCGGAGCUAAUACCGGAUAAUAUGUUGAACCGCAUGGUUCAAUAGUGAAAGAUGGUUUUGCUAUCACUUAUAGAUGGACCCGCGCCGUAUUAGCUAGUUGGUGAGGUAACGGCUCACCAAGGCAACGAUACGUAGCCGACCUGAGAGGGUGAUCGGCCACACUGGAACUGAGACACGGUCCAGACUCCUACGGGAGGCAGCAGUAGGGAAUCUUCCGCAAUGGGCGAAAGCCUGACGGAGCAACGCCGCGUGAGUGAUGAAGGUCUUAGGAUCGUAAAACUCUGUUAUUAGGGAAGAACAAACGUGUAAGUAACUGUGCACGUCUUGACGGUACCUAAUCAGAAAGCCACGGCUAACUACGUGCCAGCAGCCGCGGUAAUACGUAGGUGGCAAGCGUUAUCCGGAAUUAUUGGGCGUAAAGCGCGCGUAGGCGGUUUUUUAAGUCUGAUGUGAAAGCCCACGGCUCAACCGUGGAGGGUCAUUGGAAACUGGAAAACUUGAGUGCAGAAGAGGAAAGUGGAAUUCCAUGUGUAGCGGUGAAAUGCGCAGAGAUAUGGAGGAACACCAGUGGCGAAGGCGACUUUCUGGUCUGUAACUGACGCUGAUGUGCGAAAGCGUGGGGAUCAAACAGGAUUAGAUACCCUGGUAGUCCACGCCGUAAACGAUGAGUGCUAAGUGUUAGGGGGUUUCUGCCCCUUAGUGCUGCAGCUAACGCAUUAAGCACUCCGCCUGGGGAGUACGACCG
This 804-nucleotide ribosomal RNA is filed under the name uncultured Staphylococcus sp. RNAcentral's name for it is "bacterial SSU rRNA". It matches the Rfam family "Bacterial small subunit ribosomal RNA", at positions 98 to 888 of the family's 1533-position model. Lineage: Bacteria; Bacillati; Bacillota; Bacilli; Caryophanales; Staphylococcaceae. The record is from RNAcentral.